RNAcentral lists this long non-coding RNA (1707 nucleotides) under Homo sapiens (human). Its description in RNAcentral is "non-protein coding lnc-SCGB2B2-5:1". The record is from RNAcentral. Lineage: Eukaryota; Metazoa; Chordata; Mammalia; Primates; Hominidae.
CUAUUUCAGGUGACAUUUAGUGAUGUGGCUAUAGACUUCUCUCAUGAAGAGUGGGCAUGCCUAGAUUCUGCUCAGAGGGACUUAUACAAGGAUGUGAUGGUCCAGAAUUAUGAGAACCUUGUCUCUGUAGCAGGUCUUUCCAUAACUAAGCCAUAUGUGAUCACAUUGUUGGAGCAUGGGAAAGAGCCCUGGAUGGUGGAGAAAAAACUGUCAAAAGGUAUGAUUCCAGGUUGGGAAUCAAGAUGGGAAAACAAGGAAUUAUCAACAAAGAAGGAUAUUUAUAAGGAAGAUUCACUCCAAACAGUAACAAUAGAAAAAGUUUUAAAACAAAGUUAUGAAUUUUCAAAUUCUACCAAGAAUUUGGAACACAUAGAAAAGUUGGAAGGGAAGCCUGGAAUUCAUGUAGAACAUUUCAGACCAGCAACUCUCACCUCUAGAGAAAGCCCCACUGGGGACAGUUACAAAUAUGACACAUUUAGAAUCACCUUUCAUUCAAAGUCUACUCUUUCUGAACCAUAAAAAAAUUCUGCUAAAGGGAAUUCACACAAAUACAAUAUAUUAAAGAAGAAUUUACCAAAAAAGUCAGUUGUAAAAAAUGAGAGACUCAAUGGUGGAAAGAAACUCUUGAAUUCUAAUAAAAGUGGAGCAGCCGUUAACCAGAGCACCUCUCCUCACCACACUUAUAAUAGAGAAAGUCUAUACAUCUAGGGAAUGUGGGAAAGCCUUUGGCAAACAGUCAAUCCUCAAUCGCCACUGGAGAAUUCAUACAGGAGAGAAGCCCUGUGAAUGUCGUGAAUGUGGGAAGACUUUUAGCCACGGCUCAUCCCUUACACGACAUCAGAUAAGCCAUAGUGGAGAGAAACCUUACAAAUGUAUUGAAUGUGGGAAGGCCUUUAGCCAUGGCUCAUCACUUACUAACCAUCAGAGCACUCACACUGGAGAGAAACCAUAUGAAUGUAUGAACUGUGGAAAGUCUUUUAGGCGUGUGUCCCAUCUUAUUGAACAUCUAAGAAUUCAUACGCAAGAAAAACUCUAUGAGUGUCGUAUAUGUGGAAAGGCCUUCAUUCAUACGUCGUCUCUCAUUCACCAUCAGAAAAUCCAUACUGGAGAGAAGCCUUAUGAAUGUAGAGAAUGUGAGAAAGCUUUCUGCUGUAGCUCACACCUUACUCCACAUCAAAGAAUUCACACUAUGGAGAAACAAUAUGAAUGCAACAAAUGUCUGAAAGUCUUUAGUAGCCUCUCAUUUCUUGUUCAGCAUCAGAGUAUUCAUACUGAAGAAAAACCCUUUGAAUGUCAGAAAUGCAGGAAAUCCUUCAACCAGCUUGAAUCACUGAAUAUGCAUUUGAGAAAUCACAUUAGAUUGAAAUGUGAUUUCUAUCUAAUGAAUGCCAUAUAUGUGGGAAAGCCUUUAGUCAUAGGUCAUCCCUGCUUCAACAUCACAGAAUUCAUACUGGAGAGAAACCUUACGAAUGUAUUAAAUGUGGGAAGACCUUCAGCUGUAGUUCAAACCUUACCGUACAUCAGAGAAUUCAUACUGGAGAAAAGCCAUAUAAAUGUAGUGAGUGUGGGAAAGCUUUUAGCAAAGGCUCAAAUCUUACUGCCCAUCAAAGAGUACAUAAUGGAGAGAAACCCAAUAGUGUGGUAAGUGUGGAAAAGCCUUUAGACUAUAUGAAUCACUAUACAUGUGAGAAAUCUUACAGAAGAGAA